AAGUAUUAUGGCGGACAUGUUUUUGUGUUUGUAAAUAGAAUACAAACAUUGUCACAAGAUUGUGUGUAAUCGAAGCCUUAAUACGGUCUGUCUGCAGAAUCAUUACGAUUACAAUUAUCGAGAUCUUCUAAAACACAGAGAGACUAAUCGAGAAGUUAAGCCCGGUGACUUCCUCAAAGUUUCGUCUGAGUUUUACUCGCACCUCAGCUACCCAAUAUGUCUGGAUUUUUAGAUAACUGUCAAUUACCACGAUGCGAUUGCAUAGAACUCGGCGAAAGGCGGAAUAUGGUUGCUUCCAUCAUAUCCGGUAUAAUGUUUUUCAGUGGUUGGUGGAUUGUGAUCGAUGCGGCUGCCGUUUAUCCUGACAUGAAAGAUUUCAACCAUGCAUACCACACACCUGGGGUCAUCGGCACUGUGGCCUUCUUCCUGAUAAACUCGGUGUCAAAUGGUCAGAUUCGCGGGGAGAGCUACACUAACGGAUGUAUGGGACAAACAGGAGCUCGCAUCUGGUUGUUCUUUGGUUUCCUUCUGGGCUUUGGUGCUCUGAUUGCUGCAUCCUGGAUCUUGUUCGGCUUCUACGUCGUCCAGUUUGCGACUCCAGAUUGGCCUGGUAUUGCUGUCUUCCUGCAGAACGCACUCAUAUUUUUCAGUUCAAUUGUAUUCAAGUUUGGUCGGACUGAGGACCUGUGGGGGUGAGUUUGACCAGCCGACCGGCUGGACAGGAGAUGGCUGAGACCACAGAUUUAACAAGGAAUCAUCUCUUACACUGAAACCCACUGGGACAACUAUUAGUUUGUACUGUUUAUAUGCUGUUGCUGAAAUGUCUUCUUCAGUCUAUCAGGAAAUAGAAUGUGAAUAAUUUAUGGACAUUUCAUGAUAUUGAUGAAGAUUGUAAAUAUUCAGACAAUAUUUUAUGGGAUUUCCACAUUUGUUGGUUUUCUGCUGUAUCAAUAACUUCCAGGAUUUGUCUACAGCAGUAUGAUGACACAACCAACUAAUGAGAAAUACAAGUACAUCACUCUUCUCUGUCAUGCCUCUGGAAUUCUCUCUGAUUCAUGUUGUGUACUUGUAAAUUACUUGUGUGUGUAUUUGUGAUCUCCAAAGCUCCUGUCCCCAUAACCCAUGUCCUGUACAUAGUCCAGUCCCACGACUGUUUCUCCACACAACCCAGUGUAUCCUCUACCUUACAUAACUGCCUGUAUCUCUCCGGUGUGCUUCUCUCUCUUGUGUCUAUGUGGUCUGUCUACGUGAUCUGUCGACAUGGGUGGUCUAUGUGGGCUGUUUACGUGGUCUGUUAAAGUGGUCGGUCUACAUGGUCUACCUGGACUGACUCUCUUUACCUGCUGUAUCUGCAUCAAGUCUACCUGGGUUUUUUUCAUCAGGUCUGUCUACCUAGUUUAGUUUACCUGGGUAUGUUUGGAGCUAGUUAUAGAUUUUGUCAAUGGUUAACAUUGUCUCAAUGUCAGAAACAAGAAUCCUAUUGAUAAACUAGCAACGUGUGUUGUACACACACACUGUGACCAAAUCUCCAUACUUGAGAUUGAUGUGUGAGUCAGUGUUCAUCCCAAGGUAGCCAAGUUCAUACCCAGGUAGCCAUGUUCAUGCCCAGGUAGCCAUGUUCAUCCCCAGGUAGCCAUGUUCAUCCCCAGGUAGCCAUGUUCAUCCCCAGGUAGCCAUGUUCAGCAAACAAUAACGUUGUGCAGCGGCUCUGUAUGUGCUAUCGACAGUACUUCACUAGUGUGCACUGUUUCUCCUCUGUACUGUCAAUAUUGAUGAUUUGUUAGUGAGGUAGCUAUGUCCUUCCUCUUUGAUCUGAGAACUGUUGAACUGCAGUCAUUAUCCAACAGACAUUGUGUGAUUUUUCAAGCCUGUGUCAAGUUAGAAAUGUGACAUGACGUACACAGAUUUAGUCCACCAUGUGUGAAACAACAUGAAGAACCAAAACUGCUGGGAUCACAAGACAUGUUGAUGAUCUGGUCCAUGCUUGUGUCAGUGCUUGUGUCAGUGCUUGUGCAUGUACUGCACCCGAUUCACACCUGACAGUGAAUGUUUGUAUCCAUGGCAACACCUGCAGUCAAGAGAUGUACAUGAUUCUCAUUGACUGAGCUUGUGUCCAUGGCAACAGGUGGCAAUGGACCUAAUUCUGACUCAAUAGUGCUUGUGUCUGUGGCCUUGCAUGGACAGAGAGGGACCUGAUGUCCAUAUGGCUUAUGCUCUGCAUUGUUGGACUACUGUGCAAUUAUGUUUUUGUAAUUUAUGUCUUUGAAAUAUUUGUUAUUUAAAGAAACAAAUAAAAGUUGUUUCAAUAAAGCAAA
Molecule: unclassified non-coding RNA, 2315 nt
Filed under: Haliotis rubra (blacklip abalone)
Lineage: Eukaryota; Metazoa; Mollusca; Gastropoda; Lepetellida; Haliotidae
Description: transmembrane protein 50A-like, transcript variant X1
Source: RNAcentral